UGGCGAACGGGUGAGUAACGCGUGAGGAACCUGCCUCAAAGAGGGGGACAACAGUUGGAAACGACUGCUAAUACCGCAUAAGCCCACGACCCGGCAUCGGGAAGAGGGAAAAGGAGCAAUCCGCUUUGAGACGGCCUCGCGUCCGAUUAGCUAGUUGGUGAGGUAACGGCCCACCAAGGCAACGAUCGGUAGCCGGACUGAGAGGUUGACCGGCCACAUUGGGACUGAGAUACGGCCCAG
Molecule: ribosomal RNA, 240 nt
Filed under: uncultured bacterium
Lineage: Bacteria
Description: partial 16S ribosomal RNA
Rfam family: Bacterial small subunit ribosomal RNA
Source: RNAcentral